This 306-nucleotide ribosomal RNA is filed under the name uncultured bacterium. Its description in RNAcentral is "bacterial SSU rRNA". It matches the Rfam family "Bacterial small subunit ribosomal RNA", at positions 179 to 507 of the family's 1533-position model. The record is from RNAcentral.
UACCGGAUGAUGACUUCGGUACCAAAGUAUUUAUCGCGAGGAUGGGCCCGCGUAGGAUUAGCUAGUUGGUGGGGUAAUGGCCUACCAAGGCGACGAUCCUUAGCUGGUCUGAGAGGAUGAUCAGCCACACUGGGACUGAGACACGGCCCAGACUCCUACGGGAGGCAGCAGUGGGGAAUAUUGGACAAUGGGCGAAAGCCUGAUCCAGCAAUGCCGCGUGAGUGAUGAAGGCCUUAGGGUUGUAAAGCUCUUUUACCCGGGAUGAUAAUGACAGUACCGGGAGAAUAAGCUCCGGCUAACUCCGUG